UUUCCCCCAGCAACUUCCUGUUUGAAAUUCAAACUAAGAACACUUGUUUAGUUUCACUAGGAUUACGACCUCCAUUUAGGUGCGUUAAUAUGAUAUUAAAUAAGUAAAAUUAAAUAAAUCAUUAGAUUUCAUCUUUUAUUUAAUCUAUCAUUUAGUGCCAUCUAAACUGAGGUUGUAACUAUAGUGGGGUUGCAUAACAUUAUUUUUAAACUUCAAUCGUUUUCUAUCGAAAAUAAAUGGGGCUAUUAGCCUCCAUUUUUCUGAUAUUCUUCUAUAUUAGAAUAUUGGAAUUUGUGUAAAAUUGAAGUGUACUUACAUGUUACGUAUUGUAGUAGAAAUCUCUCGAUAAAUCUUGAUUUCGGGUUUAGAAAACAAUAAAAAGAACACUGGUUUACCUUGGCUCGAUCCGAGACUUUCACCUUCACUUUGGACUGCUCUCUUUCUCUCUAACCCUACAAAGGAGAAGGGUGGUGGUGUUAGCAAUCCACAAAGGUAUGGAGAGGGAGAAGAACACUGGUUGAAUCUCACUCACAACCUCACAUGGCUUCCAUCUCUCUCGGUUGCCUCUCUUCUCUCAACUUUCCUCUCCAUUGUUACAACACACACACACCACCAAAAACGGUUGGGAGAUAAAUACAUAUAUAUAGGUUAGUUUAUGUCACUCUAAUUGGGCCUAGGGUUCACUAAGCGGGCUACCAAUUAACCUAAACUAAUGGGCCAAUAUUCAACUCCAUAUUAAUCACUAAAUGAUCCAACUAACCAAAUAAUCAUCCAACUCAAACCCGAACCAUCCAAAAGUGUAGUUCAUCUCCGAGUCGAGCCAAGUCCAUGGUGUCGAUAAAUAAUCCGACAACUGUUUUAAAUCAUCGCCCGGGAUUAUUGGGUAUCAAAAACCCAACAAUCUCCACCUUGAUGCCCAAUAAUCUGCAAGUAACCAAAACACAAAGUUUAAACUUGCACAAUCAAGGUAAUCCAAUAAAAUUGGUAUCUCAGACCUUACCUCGUGUUUCGAACCGAAACAUACACCAUACCUGCUUCAUAUACUCAUCGGGGCUAAGGUCCAAAAAAUACCUAGGUAGAAACAAGUACUUACAGUGAACAACUAAUCAAGCGAUAAAGAUAUUAUAUAGGAUACAUCACACAGAUCUUUUUAAAUUCACGUUCACACAGAACCACCGAUUAACACCAAAUUAAUCAGCACAUGAUCAAACGCAUAUGCAAAACAUGCAUAAAUGACCUCAUGAAAGAUCUCACCACACUUAACCUAUCCCAUUUCGAGUUACUCCCACCUCAAGAACACAUAUCUCCUCUCAUCGCCCACCAUGCUCACUAAAUAGAUCACACAACUCAUGUCAAAAUGACAAGUCACAAUAGAUCCUAAACUUUCGGGAUAAUCCUCUAUCACCACAUCACUUCUUUCAACUUACGUGGAUAAUGGGACUCCACCUUACAGAAGUGAUAGAAGUGCCUCUCUUACACUCCACCUGUACAGGGUCUCUUUCACAGAUAAAUGAUUCUAUACAUUUGAUCACAUCUCCACUCGUGAUCCAAAUGUCACACUCUACAUCCUUCGGUACAAAUCACCAUGUACCCCUAGGCAUAUAUACUCCACCUUACCAAAAGACAUCCAACUCACUACUAAUGCAUUUCAAACUCACUAUGGCAAAUCAACACCUUUCGGUGACCACAAAGGUUAAUCCAUUCACCAAUGCUCUCAAAAAUUCACAAAGAAAAUAGUGAAGGUGGCACUCUCAAAGAGAAUCGAAGAAAGAGUCAGUUACUUCACUACACUCACAAAAAAGAGGCUCACAAAGAUAAAGAAGGUAACCCUAACAUGACUGCCUCACAUAAUCUCACAAACUACACAGACUCACAAAGAUGAAGGAGAGAAACUUCUGCCCAACUUUCUUCUCACUACCACACUCUCACACCACUCAUAGAGCAAAUAGAGUACGCCACAAAUCUCAACCCACUAUGCAUGUAAACAUAUUACACAAUGUAAUAAGUCACACUAAUUCAUGCAAUUAUACACAUCAAAUAUAUUGAAAGUGUAACAUCAACAUUGCAACAUAAUUAAGUGAUCAUAUACAUGCAGAAAGGAUUACACACAGAUGCAAUGCAAGAAUCAGGUUUAUUCUCUCAAUAAACCUCAUUAGGAUCACAACUCGACCAUAAAGUCACAUUCGCCUUGUCUCUAUCCUCAUCUUUCCUUUUAUUAUCAUCGUAGGACAAUCUCUUUCAACUAUGUCCAAAUUUUACCACAAUUAAAAUAUAUGUUAUUUUUCGCACUUACCUUAGGCCUACAUUUGCCACCAAUGCCAAAUAAUGACCACAAGUAAAGUAUGAACAUAAUUCACAUAGAAUAGUCCACUAAACUUUCCUAACGCCACAUGCAAUUCUAAUAAUGUAGAAAAAUUGACAACAAAUUCACAAAGAAUUUAAGGCAAAUAAUUAACAAAUAAUUCCUAGGCCUAGCAACAGGCAAUGGUUACCCCUUCAUGGUAACUCCAAACAUAAUGUCACCCCACACGAUGACCUCUAAUGCAAAAAAUAAAUUACUCUACACAUAUAUUUCAACUGCAAUAAUAAAAAGCAAAGAAUACGAUACCGAGCGGACCACAUCUGAAGGUCCGUAAAUAUCAAGACAUGCGAAUUCACCACUUUCGGAAUAUCACUGGUCAUCCUAAAGUCAACAGCAAUCACAGCAACACGAAAACAGCACUCGGCACCUGAACGUCCAAGGGCAAAAUAGUCCAACUUUCACUAUAUUGCUCCAAAUUGAAAUCUGAAAACACUGCAAGGUCCAUCUCGACAUGGGGGAGAUUCUGUCUGAAGACCACUUUACUAGAUUCCGAAGGACGCGCCCUCACGUGCCAUUACCGGAGCCGCGUCGGCCACGCGCCGGCGACCUGUCACCCUUCCGACUUCUUCUCCGCCUGCACAGUCCACUGAUGGUGUCCGUUUUGCCAAACUCCUUUUGGUUUCACCAGAAAACGCCAAAACAGAUUCGGCAAAAAUUUGAAAAAAACCAAACAGUUUCUGCCUCUAAUUUUCAAAUCCGUUUUCGACCACUUCCAGCCCGUUUUUAGCCCCAAAACUCACAAAUUUAUCAGCAAUACAAACUCUGAUACCUUUUGUAGCGAAAAUCCCUCGAUAAAUCUUGAUUUCGGGCUCAGAAAACAAUCAAACGUAUACUAAUUUACCUUUGCUCGACCUGAGACUUUCACCUUCACUUUGGACUGCUCUCUUUCUCUCUAACCCCACAAAGGAUAAGGGUGGUGGUGUUAGCAAUCCAUAGAGGUAUGGAGAGGAAGAAGAACACUGGUUGAAUCUUACUCACAACCUCACAUGACUUCCCUCUCUCUCGGUUGCCUCUCUUCUCUCAACUCUCCUCUCCAUUACUACAACACACACACCACUAAAAACGGCUAGGAGAUAAAUACAUAUAUAUAGGUUAGUUUAUGUCACUCUAAUUGGGCCUAGGGUUCACUAAGCGGGCUACCAAUUAGCCUAAACUAAUGGGCCAAUAUUCAACUCCAUAUGAAUCACUAAAUGAUCCAACUAACCAAAUAAUCAUCCAACCCAAACCCGAACCAUCCAAAAGUGUAGUUCAUCUCCGAGUCGAGCCAAGUUUAUGAUGCCGAUAAAUAAUCUGACAACUGUUUUAAAUCAUCGUCCGAAAUUAUUGGGUAUCAAAAACCCAACACGUAUCAAUGAAGGUAAUUUUGUUUCAAUGGGACCAACUCAAUAAAAGAAGUUAGUGUCGAUUUUGAAAUAAUUCAUUUCUUAUCUGUUGGUAUUUCUCCACUUUGAAUGCACGCGUAUUGUUUUUAUCUUGUUUCUUCUCCUUCUCUGCAGCAAAAGAAAUUGAAGUUAAAAAAUUUAUAAAUGGUCCAACUUUUGAUUCACUCGUAAUUUCUCAAUCUUGUCCAAGACUUUGAAUUAUCAUGCUACAAAAUCCUAGCAGAAACUUUGCAUUAAAUACGUUUAAAAGUUGUUUAUUUUCAAAAAUCAAUUUGAAUUUACGGUUUGAAAGAAGUGAGAUUUGUUUAAGACAUUUUACUCCAUGCAUUAUUCUAAUUGACUUCGAUCUUCUAAGAUACUCCUUUCAAUCCAUAAAGAUGUCUCAAAUUAUAAGUAUCUUUCCUUAUUGAUUGAUAAUAUAGUUAAUUUCUUAGUAAUUUAAUAUACACUUAUUUAAUGCGCCUUGUCACCAACAAAUAUAAACAACUCAUGUUUAAACAAUUGUUUAAUGUAGGGAUAUAUUGGAAAAAAAUAACAAAAAUUUAUAUUUUCAAUUAUAUUUAUUACAGUUUCUUAAUCUAAAAGUGAAAAUGGAAACAAUCUUAUUUUUUGGUGGACCAUGCUAUACCACCACAAAGUUUGACACAUUGGUUGACAUAUCACAUUCAUAUAGGAGGUCGGCAUUAUUUUAUUCGUGCGGGACUCAACUGUGAGUGCUGUGUCAAACAAUGUGAUCGUUUGGCUUAAUCCAUUUUUUGGUGCAAGUGGAGUAUAUUAUUUCUAAGGGUCAUGCUACAUGGCCACAUUUGUUGACACAUCGGUUGACACAACACAUUCACAUGAGGAGGUCGGCAUUAUUUUAUUGGCGCGGGACCCAUACUUCGACUGUGAGAGAUGUGUCAACCUUUGUGUCAACAAAUGUGGUCAUUUGGCUUAACUCUAUUUCUAAUAUUAAUACAUCACAAUACCGUACUGUUGACUUCUAUUUCAAUUCAUUAAUGACCAGAAUUUAAAUAAUUGAUGCAUGGGAUAGAGUAGUAUAAAAUUAUAAUGCAUAACUCUAUUUCUAAUAUUAAUACAUCACAAUACCGUACUGUUGACUUCUAUUUCAAUUCAUUAAUGACCAGAAUUUAAAUAAUUGAUGCAUGGGAUAAAGUAGUAUAAAAUUAUAAUGCAUAACACUGAGUCCACAACGAUCAUUAUUUUUAAACUCUUUUCUAAAUAUUUAUUUUGAAUCACACAUUCACAUAGUAAAAUAUUAUAUAUGUGAAUUCAAAAAAAAAAAUCAUAAAUUUUAACUACACACUUUCCUAAAAAUCACUAUUCAAAACAUAGUUUCUCUCAUUUAAUGUUUGUCAAACAAGGGCUAGAUAGGUAAUAUUAUGAUGGAUUAAGAUAGAUGAUAGUUUUUAAAGUUUUCUUUCAAAGAGACAUUUAUACUAUUAAUCGUAUAAUUUUGUGCUAAACUCUUUAUGCAGUACAAUGAACAUGAUUUUUCUGUUUCAUUUCCUUAAUCUUGUCCCAUAUUAUGCAAUUAGCCAACUUGUACAUGCUAAUGAUCUCAUCUAUGGAUAUAUUCA
This 5324-nucleotide long non-coding RNA is filed under the name Olea europaea subsp. europaea. The record is from RNAcentral. Lineage: Eukaryota; Viridiplantae; Streptophyta; Magnoliopsida; Lamiales; Oleaceae.